RNAcentral lists this non-coding RNA (28 nucleotides) under Rattus norvegicus (Norway rat). The record is from RNAcentral. Lineage: Eukaryota; Metazoa; Chordata; Mammalia; Rodentia; Muridae.
UGAGCAGGCCACUUGAGCAGGUGACAGU